AAAGAACCCGUUCAAACUCUUUUCCCAAAAAAAUAUCUUCAAACUAGGACUCCAACUUUUAUCCCUGGUAAAAAUGAACCAAGGCACUGAUGUGCCCCCCAGGCAUGAGAAAUAUCGUCCUCGAGAAGCAAGUCACAACAAUAAAACACAUCAACACCUUUUUUUUGAAAAAAUAUUACAAUAUUUCUCACUGGAAAUUGAACCAAGAUCUUAACUAAGCCUGCACUGCAUGAAAAAUACUAUCCCUGAGAAAAGAAAAGAAAAGAAAAGAAAAG
Non-coding RNA from Camellia sinensis, 275 nucleotides. The record is from RefSeq and is a predicted model, not a curated record. Lineage: Eukaryota; Viridiplantae; Streptophyta; Magnoliopsida; Ericales; Theaceae.